RNAcentral lists this ribosomal RNA (253 nucleotides) under uncultured bacterium. Its description in RNAcentral is "partial 16S ribosomal RNA". It matches the Rfam family "Bacterial small subunit ribosomal RNA", at positions 524 to 776 of the family's 1533-position model. The record is from RNAcentral.
UACAGAGGGUGCAAGCGUUGUUCGGAAUUAUUGGGCGUAAAGCGCGUGUAGGCGGCUUUGCAAGUCGGGUGUGAAAGCCCUCAGCUCAACUGAGGAAGUGCGCCCGAAACUGCAUGGCUUGAGUACCGGAGAGGAUGGUGGAAUUCCCCAAGUAGAGGUGAAAUUCGUAGAUAUGGGGAGGAACACCGGUGGCGAAGGCGACCAUCUGGACGGAUACUGACGCUGAGACGCGAAAGCGUGGGUAGCAAACAGG